GUUCAGAUGCUGAGUCUCCUCCGGGUCUCCCGCAGCGGCACCUGAGAUUCUCAGUUUCCCCUUGCUGCUGGUCCCGGGAGCACACGCCAAUCAAACGGUUCUCUGAUCUCUGCCUUUUUACUUAGAGACAGAAAAAAAAAAGCCCAGAGCAGAGAGAAGGGAAAAUGAAGUGAACGGAAUAUGCAAGCGAGCUGGGCAAGAGAGAAUGAGGCACAGCUAUCCCGAGGCCGGCAGGGUAACUCCGUUCACCACUUUCGGGCCAGGUGACAGUCCUGGAGCUUGCUCCCUAAUGACAAUGCACUCUUCAGAAUUCACAGAGCCCAUGGGCCACCAAGACGCUCAGUGGGAGCUCUGGUCCAGCAAGCCUGAGAGUCCAGUCUUAAUCCCUGCAGCCCACAGAUGGACUGCUUCCUGGAAACUGUCCUCUGACCUGUGCGUGUGAGCUGUGGUGCACGCGAACGCAUACAUGAGUGUGCGCACGCCAAACACACACACAAAUACAAUCACGUUAACAUACACACAAGCACCACAAACACAAAAAAAUACAGUCACAUAAACAUACACACACAAACCACAAAUAUACACAGACACACCACAAACACACACACACACACACACACACACAAAUACAAUCACAUAAACAUACACACAUGCACCACAAACACACAAAAAUAGUCAUAUAAACAUACACACACAAACCACAAAUAUACACAGACACACCACAAAUACACACACAUGCACCACAAACACACAAAAAUACAAUCAUAUAAAUACACACACAAACCACAAAUAUACACAGACACACCACAAAUACACACACAUGCACCACAAACACACAAAAAUACAAUCAUAUAAACAUACACACACACACACACACACACACACACACACACACCCCUCACCACAAACGCACACCAAAUAAACAUCAAAGCCUUGUCAAUUAGGAUGCCGCUCCCCGAAAGGUGGAGUACUGAUUGACCUAAGCCUCAUAAACGCUCCUAGUGCAGGAUAUUACACAACAGAAUUGGAUUAAAAAACAAAAACAAAAACGCAGUCUAUGCUUACUCAUGAGGUCUUGUCGCCACCUAGUGGCUCAUUUGUUCAUUGCAACUUUUACCGGGCCUCCAAGUUUAAAUACUUUAAACACUCUGAUCGAUUAAUGUUUCAAUUCAACAAAACUGUAUUAGACAGAAGCUGGGCUGAAACAUUAAUAAAAGACCUGGCCUCACCUUCCUGAGGCCGAUGUGUAAGUGUUAGGCAAGUACACAAUGCAAUCAUUAAUUAUUGCCCAGUGCGAUGUCACCAGGAAAUAAAACUAUCGUGGGCUGGAGGGUGAUGUGGACAGAGGAGUGGCUUUGGUUUUGUGUUUUGAGACAGGAUCUCACCAAGAAGCUCGGGAAAAUCUUGAUCCCUUCAUCCCAAGUGCUGCAGGGUCUCAGUCAGGAAUUCGGGUGACAGGUCUGUGUGUGGUUGGCUGCCCUUCACUGACAACCACACCUCUGGCGAAUUGCAAAUUGCAUCAGAACCUCUUCUUAAAGGUCAGAACUGUGGUUUUUAACCCAGGGCCUCUUAGUCGUGCCUCAGUCCAGGACAGAGGUUCUCAAUCUUCCUAAUGGGACCUUUACCACGGUUCCUCGCGAUGUGGUGACCCCACUCAAACAUAAAAUUAUUUCGUUGCUACUUCAUAACUAAUUUUGCUACAGCUGUGAAUUGUGAUCUAAAUAUCUGAAGUGCGGGAUGUCUGAUAUUUCCACCCACGGGUAGAGAAACACUGGUCCAGGCCGUAGCCCUGACCAGUUAAAUUUGCAUCCCUAGAAGUGGACACUGUGCUUUCAAAGUUUUCCAGGUGACUCGGCGUACAGCCGAAGCUGAGAGCAUCAAAACGAAGCCCUUGGUGCUCCGGAACGGUGGAGUCACAAGAGUCAUGAGCCAGGCUGGCUUUUGUUUGUUUGGGUUCCUGCUUCAUGGAAGAGUCUGCCAGACAUUCUGCAGGACACAGAGAAAAAUGACUGACAAACUGCCAACACAGGUGGACAGUUUAAAACUUCCUGCUUGGCUGAGAGGUCUGCCAGACGCACUAUGGCCUAUGGACUGAAGAUGGAUACCCCAACAUUUCAGAAGAAUCUUGGGUGACUGUCCAGGCAGCCAGCUGUUUCUGUCAUUUCUCACAUUUUUUGGAAGUCUCUUGCUCAAACCUCCUGUUUGCACAGUUAAUAUUAUUUCCUUCUUGGGUCUCUGAGGGAGUUGGAGACUAAGAUAGUAUAGUUAUAGUUUCCCUGUUUACCAGAAUCACUAAAGAAACUCACUAUAGAUAUGUUAAUCGUAAUAGGUUUAAAAGACGUAAGAUAAUUUGAUAUGCAAAUUAGAAUAGAAAGUUAAUAGAGUAUUUUCUCGGAAUUUGUCAUAUGCCUAUGGAUUAGACAUUGCUAACGUAUCUAUUGCCAUGUAUAUAUUGUAUAUAGUUAUUGUACUUAUUGUACAUAGUUUUUCUCAUAUUAGUUAUAACCUUUUAUUUUAAUUUUAUACAAAAAAUAUGUGGUGACAUCUUUCUUGCACAAAUAAAGCCUGUCUGGGGGUCAGAGAAUGGAGCUUGCCACUAGCUAACCAUAGAGGUCUGGAGGUCCGGACAGACAGACAGGAAGUGACGUAGCUGGGCAGAAACAGGAUAUCAGCAGGGAGAAACAGGAAAUCACGCUCUUCUCUGCUGAGACGCUGAGGAGGUAAGGUGUGCUGUGGUUUGCUCCUCCUCUCUGAUCUCUCAGCAUUUCCCUCUAUAUCUGACUCCAGCUUUUAUGAUCUAGACCAAUUAAGAAACUCCUUUUACAGGCCGGGCGUUGGUGGCACACUCCUUUAAUCCCAGUACUCAGGAAACAGAGGCAGGCGGAUCUCUGUGAGUUCAAGGCCAGCCUGGUCUACAAGAGCUAGUUCCAGGACGGCCUCCAAAGCUACACAGAGAACUCCAUUUACACUUAG
RNAcentral lists this long non-coding RNA (2973 nucleotides) under Cricetulus griseus (Chinese hamster). Its description in RNAcentral is "lncRNA (ENSCGRG00000025346.1)". The record is from RNAcentral. Lineage: Eukaryota; Metazoa; Chordata; Mammalia; Rodentia; Cricetidae.